GACGAACGCUGGCGGCGUGCUUAACACAUGCAAGUCGAACGGUGAACCCGGAGCUUGCUCUGUGGGAUCAGUGGCGAACGGGUGAGUAACACGUGAGCAACCUGCCCCUGACUCUGGGAUAAGCGCUGGAAACGGCGUCUAAUACUGGAUAUGUGACGUGAUCGCAUGGUCUGCGUCUGGAAAGAAUUUCGGUUGGGGAUGGGCUCGCGGCCUAUUCGCUUGUUGGUGAGGUAAUGGCUCACCAAGCCGUCGACGGGUAGCCGGCCUGGCAGGGGGACCGGCCGCCCGGGAAGGGAGACAGGGUCCAGACGCCUACGGGAGGGAGCAGGAGGGAAUCGUGGGCAAUGGGCGGAAGCCUGACGGGGCAACGGCGGGGGAUUGAAGAAGGUGUUCGGAGCGUAAAACUCGGUUAUUAGGGAAGAACAUAUGUGUAAGUAACUGUGCACAUCUUGACGGUACCUAAUCAGAAAGCCACGGCUAACUACGUG
RNAcentral lists this ribosomal RNA (488 nucleotides) under uncultured bacterium. RNAcentral's name for it is "partial 16S ribosomal RNA". It matches the Rfam family "Bacterial small subunit ribosomal RNA", at positions 28 to 507 of the family's 1533-position model. The record is from RNAcentral.